Anopheles coluzzii is the source of this 751-nucleotide long non-coding RNA. RefSeq lists it as uncharacterized. NCBI's taxonomy places the organism in Eukaryota, Metazoa, Arthropoda, Insecta, Diptera, Culicidae. The record is from RefSeq and is a predicted model, not a curated record. The transcript has 2 exons.
UAAAAGACGAGCAGCAGCAGCAACAAAAAAACAUUGCCCUUGUUGGAUCUCUGGUCCACGCUCUAGUGGAUGGUGUUGAACAGAAUCGAAUAUAUCGAUUGAAGCGCACACGCACAGGACGAAGCUUCUGAAAAGGACACACCGUUUACAUUUGACUUAGGUGGGUCGAUGUGCGCCCCACCCAACACUGCCCCGUGAGAACACCUUUUCAACACAUAGACACGGUGAAAGUUGAUGAAAUGCAGCUUACCUGGUGAGCAUUGUUGAGUUGCGAUCACUUCGUCUAAACAUUUCUAAACCGCGGAUGUACUCCUUUUUGCUACCAAAACCCACCUAAACCCGGUUCUUCUUGUACAGAGCACCGUGUGUGCUGACCACCAUCUUCUGCCUCACUUGACUUUCUGGGAUUGCUGUGUGAAGUGUUUUGAUAACAGCGGUACCGGAGGAUGACAGCCAAAACCAGGCGGCAAACGGAGAAAAACAGAAACACAGCCAGUUCGAAACGAGUGAAUUAAAUAACAUUUAAAUAUGCAAAAGCACGUUCCCAUUUGUUGCUACGGCAAAUAAUAAUACGGCAUCCGGGUUGCACGGUUUGUGAGCAUUAUCCAAACGCCGCUGCUGCCAAGCCAAGCUGCCAAGCGUGUGGUGGAAAGUGUAAUUUUCCACCACUCGGAAAACUGUCGCACCGGGUUUCGGAUGAGUGGCAAAAAGAGUGCUGAACCGUACAGAUUGAAUAAUGAUAGAGUUGAGG